GUGGGGAAUAUUGGACAAUGGGCGAAAGCCUGAUCCAGCCAUGCCGCGUGUGUGAAGAAGGUCUUCGGAUUGUAAAGCACUUUAAGUUGGGAGGAAGGGCAGUAAGUUAAUACCUUGCUGUUUUGACGUUAUCGACAGAAUAAGCACCGGCUAACUUCGUGCCAGCAGCCGCGGUAAGACGAAGGGUGCAAGCGUUAAUCGGAAUUACUGGGCGUAAAGCGCGCGUAGGUGGUUUUGUAAGUUGGAGGUGAAAUCCCCGGGCUCAACCUGGGAACUGACUCCAAAACUGCAUGACUAGAGUACGGUAGAGGGUGGUGGAAUUUCCUGUGUAGCGGUGAAAUGCGUAGAUAUAGGAAGGAAAACCAGUGGCGAAGGCGACUACCUGGACUGAUACUGACUCUGGGGUGCGAAAGCGUGGGGAGCAAACAGGAUUAGAUACCCGUGUAGUCC
RNAcentral lists this ribosomal RNA (450 nucleotides) under uncultured bacterium. RNAcentral describes it as "bacterial SSU rRNA". It matches the Rfam family "Bacterial small subunit ribosomal RNA", at positions 354 to 796 of the family's 1533-position model. The record is from RNAcentral.